Molecule: ribosomal RNA, 301 nt
Filed under: uncultured bacterium
Lineage: Bacteria
Description: partial 16S ribosomal RNA
Rfam family: Bacterial small subunit ribosomal RNA
Source: RNAcentral
CAGCAGCCGCGGGAAAACGGAGGGUGCGAGCGUUAAUCGGAAUUACUGGGCGUAAAGCGUACGCAGGCGGUUUGUUAAGUCAGAUGUGAAAUCCCCGAGCUUAACUCGGGAACUGCAUUUGAAACUGGCAGGCUAGAGUCUCGUAGAGGGGGUAGAAUUCCAGGUGUAGCGGUGAAAUGCGUAGAGAUCGGGAGGAACAUCAGUGGCGAAGGCGGCCAUCUGGGACAACACUGACGCUGAGGCACGAAAGCGUGGGGAGCAAACAGGAUUAGAUACCCCUGUAGUCCCUGUCUCUUAUACA